CGAGCGGCGGACGGGUGAGUAAUGUCUGGGAAACUGCCUGAUGGAGGGGGAUAACUACUGGAAACGGUAGCUAAUACCGCAUAACGUCGCAAGACCAAAGAGGGGGACCUUCGGGCCUCUUGCCAUCGGAUGUGCCCAGAUGGGAUUAGCUAGUAGGUGAGGUAAAGGCUCACCUAGGCGACGAUCCCUAGCUGGUCUGAGAGGAUGACCAGCCACACUGGAACUGAGACACGGUCCAGACUCCUACGGGAGGCAGCAGUGGGGAAUAUUGCACAAUGGGCGCAAGCCUGAUGCAGCCAUGCCGCGUGUGUGAAGAAGGCCUUCGGGUUGUAAAGCACUUUCAGCGGGGAGGAAGGGAGCAGACUUAAUACGUCUGUUCAUUGACGUUACCCGCAGAAGAAGCACCGGCUAACUCCGUGCCAGCAGCCGCGGUAAUACGGAGGGUGCAAGCGUUAAUCGGAAUGACUGGGCGUAAAGCGCACGCAGGCGGUCUGUUAAGUUGGAUGUGAAAUCCCCGGGCUUAACCUGGGAACUGCAUUCAAAACUGACAGGCUAGAGUCUCGUAGAGGGGGGUAGAAUUCCAGGUGUAGCGGUGAAAUGCGUAGAGAUCUGGAGGAAUACCGGUGGCGAAGGCGGCCCCCUGGACGAAGACUGACGCUCAGGUGCGAAAGCGUGGGGAGCAAACAGGAUUAGAUACCCUGGUAGUCCACGCUGUAAACGAUGUCGAUUUGGAGGUUGUGGUCUUGAACCGUGGCUUCCGGAGCUAACGCGUUAAAUCGACCGCCUGGGGAGUACGGCCGCAAGGUUAAAACUCAAAUGAAUUGACGGGGGCCCGCACAAGCGGUGGAGCAUGUGGUUUAAUUCGAUGCAACGCGAAGAACCUUACCUACUCUUGACAUCCAGAGAAGCCUGCAGAGAUGCGGGUGUGCCUUCGGGAGCUCUGAGACAGGUGCUGCAUGGCUGUCGUCAGCUCGUGUUGUGAAAUGUUGGGUUAAGUCCCGCAACGAGCGCAACCCUUAUCCUUUGUUGCCAGCACUUCGGGUGGGAACUCAAGGGAGACUGCCGGUGAUAAACCGGAGGAAGGUGGGGAUGACGUCAAGUCAUCAUGGCCCUUACGAGUAGGGCUACACACGUGCUACAAUGGCGUAUACAAAGAGAAGCGACCUCGCGAGAGCAAGCGGACCUCAUAAAGUACGUCGUAGUCCGGAUUGGAGUCUGCAACUCGACUCCAUGAAGUCGGAAUCGCUAGUAAUCGUAGAUCAGAAUGCUACGGUGAAUACGUUCCCGGGCCUUGUACACACCGCCCGUCACACCAUGGGAGUGGGUUGCAAAAGAAGUAGGUAGCUUAACCUUCGGGAGGGCGCUUACCACUUUGUGAUUCAUGACUGGGGUGAAGUCGUAACAAGGUAACCGUAGGGGAACCUGCGGUUG
RNAcentral lists this ribosomal RNA (1431 nucleotides) under Dickeya zeae MK19. Its description in RNAcentral is "bacterial SSU rRNA". It matches the Rfam family "Bacterial small subunit ribosomal RNA". Lineage: Bacteria; Pseudomonadati; Pseudomonadota; Gammaproteobacteria; Enterobacterales; Pectobacteriaceae. The record is from RNAcentral.